AUACGUAGGGGGCGAGCGUUAUUCGGAAUUACUGGGUGUAAAGGGUAUGUAGGCGGCCCUUCAAGUCGCGUGUCAAAGUCCAGUGCUCAACGCUGGGUGUGCGCGCGAUACUGACGGGCUUGAGGGCUGGAGAGGUGAGCGGAAUUCCCGGUGUAGUGGUAAAAUACGUAGAGAUCGGGAGGAACACCAGCGGCGCAGGCGGCUCACUAGACAGUUUCUGACGCUAAGGCGCGAAAGCCAGGGGAGC
Molecule: ribosomal RNA, 247 nt
Filed under: uncultured bacterium
Lineage: Bacteria
Description: partial 16S ribosomal RNA
Rfam family: Bacterial small subunit ribosomal RNA
Source: RNAcentral